This 447-nucleotide ribosomal RNA is filed under the name uncultured bacterium. RNAcentral's name for it is "bacterial SSU rRNA". It matches the Rfam family "Bacterial small subunit ribosomal RNA", at positions 355 to 825 of the family's 1533-position model. The record is from RNAcentral.
UGGGGAAUAUUGGACAAUGGGCGCAGGCCUGAUCCAGCCAUGCCGCGUGGAUGAUGAAGGCCUUAGGGUUGUAAAAUCCUUUCGCCGAGGACGAUAAUGACGGUACUCGGAGAAGAAGCUCCGGCUAACUUCGUGCCAGCAGCCGCGGUAAUACGAAGGGGGCUAGCGUUGUUCGGAUUUACUGGGCGUAAAGCGCGUGUAGGCGGGUCGUUAAGUUGGGGGUGAAAUCCCGAGGCUCAACCUCGGAACUGCCUUCAAAACUGGCGACCUGGACCUAAGUAGAGGCAAGUGGAAUUGCGAGUGUAGAGGUGAAAUUCGUAGAUAUUCGCAGGAACACCAGUGGCGAAGGCGACUUGCUGGACUUAUGGUGACGCUGAGACGCGAAAGCGUGGGGAGCAAACAGGAUUAGAUACCCGGGUAGUCCCUGAGCGGGCUGGCAAGGCGCAU